AUAGCUCAGUCGGUAGAGCAGAGGAUUGAAAAUCCUCGUGUCGGUGGUUCGAUUCCGCCUCCGGGCACCACAAUUU
RNAcentral lists this transfer RNA (76 nucleotides) under Vibrio cholerae O395. RNAcentral describes it as "tRNA-Phe". The stretch from base 1 to 67 matches the Rfam family "tRNA". Rfam says of the family: Transfer RNA (tRNA) molecules are approximately 80 nucleotides in length. Lineage: Bacteria; Pseudomonadati; Pseudomonadota; Gammaproteobacteria; Vibrionales; Vibrionaceae. The record is from RNAcentral.